GAUGAACGCUAGCUACAGGCUUAACACAUGCAAGUCGAGGGGAAACGGCAUUGAGUGCUUGCACUCUUUGGACGUCGACCGGCGCACGGGUGAGUAACGCGUAUCCAACCUUCCCAUUACUGUGGGAUAACCUGCCGAAAGGCAGACUAAUACCGCAUAGUCUUCGAUGACGGCAUCAGAUUUGAAGUAAAGAUUUAUCGGUAAUGGAUGGGGAUGCGUCUGAUUAGCUUGUUGGCGGGGUAACGGCCCACCAAGGCUACGAUCAGUAGGGGUUCUGAGAGGAAGGUCCCCCACAUUGGAACUGAGACACGGUCCAAACUCCUACGGGAGGCAGCAGUGAGGAAUAUUGGUCAAUGGACGGAAGUCUGAACCAGCCAAGUAGCGUGCAGGAUGACGGCCCUAUGGGUUGUAAACUGCUUUUGUAUGGGGAUAAAGUUAGGGACGUGUCCCUAUUUGCAGGUACCAUACGAAUAAGGACCGGCUAAUCCCGUG
This 492-nucleotide ribosomal RNA is filed under the name uncultured bacterium. RNAcentral's name for it is "partial 16S ribosomal RNA". It matches the Rfam family "Bacterial small subunit ribosomal RNA", at positions 28 to 507 of the family's 1533-position model. The record is from RNAcentral.